This 337-nucleotide long non-coding RNA is filed under the name Lonchura striata (white-rumped munia). RNAcentral describes it as "domestica (Bengalese finch) lncRNA (ENSLSDG00000009737.1)". The record is from RNAcentral. Lineage: Eukaryota; Metazoa; Chordata; Aves; Passeriformes; Estrildidae.
GCGGGCGGGACGGGACGGGGAGAGGCUGCGGCAGCGCGGCGGGACCCGGCGGAGCGACAGCCCGGCCCGGGGAAGAGGCGGCGCCGGCAGGUGCUGGGCCGAGGGCAGCGCGUCCCGGCGGGGCAGCGCUCACGGGCAUGGACAAGCUCAACAGGCUGACGGUGCCAGCCGGGGAGAAGUUCAGAAAGCUUCAGAAGAUGGUGCAUGACAUCAAGAAAAAUGAAAGUGGGAUAAUAAACAAGUUCAAAAAGUAAGUUUGCAACACCAAUCCCUAGUUUUAUCAAUGUGGGGAAGUUUGGAUUAUGAGCAUAGAGGUGUGUGGUACUUUAGUGAUGGG